Molecule: ribosomal RNA, 492 nt
Filed under: uncultured bacterium
Lineage: Bacteria
Description: partial 16S ribosomal RNA
Rfam family: Bacterial small subunit ribosomal RNA
Source: RNAcentral
AGUGAACGCUGGCGGUAGGCCUAACACAUGCAAGUCGAACGGCAGCACAGUAAGAGCUUGCUCUUACGGGUGGCGAGUGGCGGACGGGUGAGGAAUACAUCGGAAUCUACUUUUUCGUGGGGGAUAACGUAGGGAAACUUACGCUAAUACCGCAUACGACCUACGGGUGAAAGCAGGGGAUCUUCGGACCUUGCGCGAUUGAAUGAGCCGAUGUCGGAUUAGCUAGUUGGCGGGGUAAAGGCCCACCAAGGCGACGAUCCGUAGCCGGUCUGAGAGGAUGAUCAGCCACACGGGAACUGAGACACGGUCCAGACUCCUACGGGAGGCAGCAGUGGGGAAUAUUGGACAAUGGGCGCAAGCCUGAUCCAGCCAUACCGCGUGGGUGAAGAAGGCCUUCGGGUUGUAAAGCCCUUUUGUUGGGAAAGAAAAGCAGCAGGUUAAGACCCCGCUGUUCUGACGGUACCCAAAGAAUAAGCACCGGCUAACUUCGUG